GAUGAACGCUGGCGGCAUGCUUUACACAUGCAAGUCGAACGGGAAGUGGUGUUUCCCGUGGCGGACGGGUGAGUAACGCGUAAGAACCUGCCCUUGGGAGGGGAACAACAGCUGGAAACGGCUGCUAGUACCCCGUAGGCUGAGGAGCGAAAGGAGGAAUCCGCCCAAGGAGGGGCUCGCGUCUGAUUCGCUAGUUGGUGAGGUAAUAGCUUACCAAGGCAGUGAUCAGUAGCUGGUCCGAGAGGAUGAUCAGCCACACUGGUACUGAGACAAGGACCAGACUCCUUCGGGCGGCAGGAGUGGGGAAUUUUCCGCAAUGGGCGAUAGCUUGACGAAGCAAUGCCGCGUGGAGGUAAAUGGGCUACGGGUGAUGAACUUCUUUUCCUGGCGAAGAAACAAUGACGGUACCUGGAGAAUAAGCAUCGGCUAACUCCGUG
Molecule: ribosomal RNA, 437 nt
Filed under: uncultured bacterium
Lineage: Bacteria
Description: partial 16S ribosomal RNA
Rfam family: Bacterial small subunit ribosomal RNA
Source: RNAcentral